AUCCAGACUCCUACGGGAGGCAGCAGUGGGGAAUAUUGCACAAUGGGGGGAACCCUGAUGCAGCGACGCCGCGUGGGUGAAGGAGCACCUCGGUGCGUAAAGCCCUAUCGGCAGGGAAGAAACAGACGGUACCUGACUAAGAAGCCCCGGCUAACUACGUGCCAGCAGCCGCGGUAAUACGUAGGGGGCAAGCGUUAUCCGGAUUCACUGGGUGUAAAGGGAGCGUAGACGGCCAUGCAAGCCUGGAGUGAAAGCCCGGGGCCCAACCCCGGGACUGCUCUGGGAACUGUGCGGCUGGAGUGCGGGAGGGGCAGGCGGAAUUCCUGGUGUAGCGGUGAAAUGCGUAGAUAUCAGGAGGAACACCGGCGGCGAAGGCGGCCUGCUGGACCGCGACUGACGUUGAGGCUCGAAAGCGUGGGGAGCAAACAGGAUUAGAUACCCUUGUAGCA
RNAcentral lists this ribosomal RNA (449 nucleotides) under uncultured bacterium. RNAcentral's name for it is "bacterial SSU rRNA". It matches the Rfam family "Bacterial small subunit ribosomal RNA", at positions 329 to 795 of the family's 1533-position model. The record is from RNAcentral.